UUUUGACUUCAAGUCUCAUCAAACUCAAUGGAUCUUGGAUCUUAAUGGGGUGAAAACCCUAAUCCACCAAAAUGGAUGAUUGAUUUUGAUGAUGACUUGAUUAAAUUUGUGGUUCAAUUUGGGUGUGAUUUCUCUUGUCUUCUUCUUCUUCAUAUCCUUCUUUUCUCUUUGAUCAAUUGGAUGGAUUGUGUCCAUCUUGUUCAUGAUGUAUGGAUUGGUACUUGAUGAACUUUCAUCAUUUUAAAUCUACCUUCUAAAUGAUCAUUUAUCAUUUAAGAUACUUUGGAUUGAUGCAUAAGAUUGUCCUAACUGUCAUGAAAUGUGGAUUGAAGUAAUGGACCAUCCUCAUAGCCUUUGUGCUUGAUCUUCCCCUUUCUUUUUCUUUUCUUGUUUGGCAUAGCUUUAGGAGGAAGAUUUACAUAUCAUUUCUCUAGUAUGUAUUAACACAAAAAUUAUUACUGAU
This 463-nucleotide long non-coding RNA is filed under the name Lathyrus oleraceus (garden pea). RNAcentral describes it as "Pisum sativum (pea) long non-coding RNA (PSAT_LNC013941)". The record is from RNAcentral. Lineage: Eukaryota; Viridiplantae; Streptophyta; Magnoliopsida; Fabales; Fabaceae.